GACGAACGCUGGCGGUGUGCUUCAUACAUGCAAGUCGAACGAAGAGGCCCUUUCGGGGGUACUUCAGUGGCGGACGGGUGAGUAAUACGUAGGUAACAUGCCCACACCUGGGGGAUAACAUCGGGAAACCGGUGCUAAUACCGCAUACGCCCUUGGUUGAAAUACCAUUGGUUAAAGAUGCGUCGGGGGUGGAUUGGCCUGCGUCGGAUUAGCUAGUUGGUGAGGUAAUGGCUCACCAAGGCAACGAUCC
This 250-nucleotide ribosomal RNA is filed under the name uncultured bacterium. Its description in RNAcentral is "partial 16S ribosomal RNA". It matches the Rfam family "Bacterial small subunit ribosomal RNA", at positions 28 to 282 of the family's 1533-position model. The record is from RNAcentral.